RNAcentral lists this ribosomal RNA (254 nucleotides) under uncultured bacterium. RNAcentral's name for it is "partial 16S ribosomal RNA". It matches the Rfam family "Bacterial small subunit ribosomal RNA", at positions 524 to 776 of the family's 1533-position model. The record is from RNAcentral.
UACGUAGGGUGCAAGCGUUGUCCGGAAUUAUUGGGCGUAAAGAGCUCGUAGGCGGUCUGUCGCGUCGGCUGUGAAAACCUGCAGCUUAACUGUGGGCGUGCGGUCGAUACGGGCAUCACUGGAGUUCGGCAGGGGAGACUGGAAUUCCUGGUGUAGCGGUGGAAUGCGCAGAUAUCAGGAGGAACACCGGUGGCGAAGGCGGGUCUCUGGGCCGAUACUGACGCUGAGGAGCGAAAGCGUGGGGAGCGAACAGG